CUGGCUAUGUAGAAAUAAACGGGUAUAACGGGGAUAUUUUUAUGCCGGAGUUAAAUGUACACUACUUAUAGUGAAUAUUUUUGAUGGAUUACUCACAUAUUUUAUAUGAUUUAGGAUUAUUUCACAAUGCUACUGUAGGUUAGUAACUUUGACUAGAUAUUUUUCUAUUUCUAUUAUGGGUUCAUGUUUAAUGUGAGCAUCUGCCCAAAACUAUACACUAAAGCACAAAAGGCAAUGGAUUUGCUGUAUAUCAAAACUAAAAGAAAUACUGGAAAUACUGGAUGGAUUUGAUGGACUCAUGCUUAUCAAUUUUUAUGACCAUUCAAUCUGUGAAUAUUUCGGCUUGUAUGGUCAUGAAAAAAUAGUCGCACUGUCACGCUUUGGUUAGAGAGCCCACCAUGUGAUCAAUGACGUUUCAAUCUUGAUGAGAAGGGAUGCACAUUCCCGAAUGCAUCCUUCCUCAUGAUAUGUUGAGUUAAACAUGUUCAUUGCACAUAAAAAUGUCACAGAAAGAGAUGCAGUGCCAAAUACCGACCGCAUGCAGUGCGCGAGCAUGACUAAACAUGUGGUAUUUGAACAUAUGGUAUUUAAACAUGUGGUAUUUAAACAUGUGGCAUUUAAACAUGUGGCAUUUAAACAUGUGGUAUUUGAACAUAUGGUAUUUAAACAUGUGGUAUUCAAACAUGUGGCAUUUAAACAUGUGGUAUUUAAACAUUUGGUAUUUGAACAUGUGGUAUUUAAACAUGUGGUAUUUAAACAUGUGGUAUUUCCAGAAGACAUUUAAUUCGGCUUUGCAAGACACUGUGCUUGGUAUUUCGUAAACUAACAUUAUAUAGCAAGCACGACAUUAACUGUUCAAUAAAACAGCGUUCAUGUACAUAAAUUGUGUGAACUCAAAUCAUGAAGUAUACGAUUUUCUGUCAUUCUUGGUUUGGUCGUUGAAGAGAUAAGACGUAUUUUUUGUGCUCUCGACGUCGCGCUCAGUAUAUAAAUUGAACUGCGCGGGCAAAAAAACGCUCAGUUGACCAAUAGACUUUGACAAAGACAGACGUUAAUUUUGUGAUCUCUGAAAAAAAUUUGACAUGAUUUUUUUUUAUGAUGACUAUGUCUCAGUUGACUUUUGAACGUUAACGAAUAUGAACGUACUUUCGUGAGCUCUGACUACAGUAUCGAUGAAAAGUUUUGAGUUUAACUGACUUGACUUCGCGUUAUAGAAUAGCGACUUGGUACUCGGGUUAUUGAAUGACUGGUGGACUGUAGUGUUAGGUUAUUGUCAUGAGAUAACAACUUGACUUUGACUUGAGUUGUGUGCAAUUAAAUUUGUGUUGGGGUGUCAAGCGAUUGACUUCACUUGAACUCUGGACGUCGGAGUGAUCAGAUGUGUUUUUGAAGCUGGUGUCUACGAAAACGUGAGUACAAACUUUUGUGUUUGACUGUUGACGUGUCUCACUGUGUAUGAUGAUUUAUGAUGAUUUAAAGCGGCUGGCGUAUUAUUGUUGAGUUGUUGUACUGAUAGAGAAGUGAAAUGCGUUGGGUAUAAAUUACUCAGUACUUAUACAGUGUCGAUAAUAUGGUGUGAUGAGAGAUGAUGGUGUUACAAAAUAUUUACUGAGCUACUUUGGGAAACGAACCGAUGAUGUAAAAACAUUGGAAACAUAUUUCAUGAAAAUGCAUGUGCUUAUAUGUACUAAAUAUGAUAUUGCUUUACUUGUAUUUGCAUGUCGUUAACAUUUCUAUUUUAUUUCAGUAUGCUGUGGUGAGUAUUGCAGAUUUAACUUGUAUGUGUGGUUUUUAGUUAACGAUGCUUAAUGAAAACUAUUAUUGUACACUUAGUAUGGAAUGAUGUGAAUGAUGAUAUGAUGGGUAGAAUUAAUCAGUGCUUGUGUCUAGAAAUGCUGAAUGUUUAUUGAAAAGGCUAAAUGCUAGCCAAAACUAACAGUUGAGCUACCGUGGGGAUGUCAAACGAAUUGAUGGUGUAAUAUGAUGGUGUAUCGACAUACUUUUCUUAUAUGCACUAUAUUUGAUACAUGUAUUGGUUUACAUUUUUUGCAUGCUGUUACAGUUUUUGUUUCAGUGUGCUGUGGUAAGUACUGUAGAUAUUACUUGAUUUUUAGUGUCUAUGAAUGCUGAUGUAUGAUAGCUAUAGCAUGAGCUCAAUGCUAACCAGUAUUAUGAGUUGAUGUAUUGUGGUGAUGCUAAUCGAACUGAUGAUGUAACAUGAUGGUGAACACUUACUGAAUGCAUACAAUUUAUUGAAUUGCGUUUGUUGAUAUGCACUAUAAUAUGAUUAAUGUAUUGCUUGACAUGUAUUUUUCAUGAUGUUUAAUUUCAGUUUGCUGUGGUGAGUACUGUAGAUUGUAUUGCCUAUGUAUAGAAUUCAAUAAAAGAUUAUGACUGAAAACUGCUUUUGAUUCUUUUUGUACAGUUUUAGGGACUAUAAGUCUAUAACAAAAAUAUGUCGGUUUAUGUUCAUGAGUGUGGGCUUAAUACAGCAAUGUUUGAGUAGUACAGAAAUGUUUCUUCGUUUGUGGUCGCCAGUUGUCUGUGACUUGUAAAGUGAAAAAUACGCAUAGCUUUGAAUGCAACAACUAUUUACUGUUUUAACAAAGAUUGUGUACUAUGCAUGUUUUGAUGUAGAUCUUUUCAGAUUUGACAUAAAAUGAAGACCUGUCAGUUUAACAGAGCUGGGAAACGAUGAGGUAAGUGUGUUUCAUCUUACUAUGAACACUGGUAUUUUGACAAAAGAAGAGAUAAAGUGAGUUUCUUCAUUAUCAUGGUUUCUUUCAGAGUAUAACUUAUGAACAAAUCAAAACCUAUUUUUUACUAGAUUUUCAUGUACUCUUUUUUUGGAUGAUGAGUAACUUAAAAUCAUACGGCUAGUACAGUAUGGAACAUGAAUGCUUUGUUCAGAUUUUCAGAUGUGUGCUGGCAGUUCAAGUCUGGCAGCUGAAGUGAACAGUCAUGAUUUUGUUGGAGCUCCAACAAUAUGCUAGAAGGUAAGUAACUAUGUUUAAUUUGCAUUGCAUGUUUUCCUAUGUUUCAGACUUUUAAACAGAGAUGUCAUGAUGACUGGAGUUGAGCACAGGGCAGUGAUAAAGUAAAAGGUAAGUACUUUUGACUGAAUGUUUGUUCUAUGCAUGUUUUGCUAUAAUACAUUCCAGGAGUGCUUAUGCAGUGAUGAUUUGACAGUUGAGUGAAAGUGGAGCCAUGCAGUCUUGAUUUUGAAGCUUCUCAACAAGCCUUGAAGGUAAGGUUAGAAUGACUCAAUGUUAGUGAAUUAUUUAAAAAAAUAUACUGUCAGUGAAGUACUGUCAGUUGCAUUUGGACAGUUGAGCAGAACAGACGUAGCUGUAAGAGCUCUCAUAUCUGUUGUGUAAAACUGUCCUAAUGAUAUGUUAUGCUUGUUUGUUUCUGUUGUACUAUUUUUCAGAUACGUUUGGCAGUGAAGGAUUGAAAGCUGACAUGAACAGAAAAAAGAUGCUGUUGGCAGUGAUGGGUUUGGAAGCUGGCAUGAACAGAAAAGCAAACAUAUGGUGAGUACAAAAUAGUUUUUAUAUGGUAUGUUUUGUGCAUGCUUCUAUGUUUCAGAUGUACUUGCAGUCAACAACGAAGAUGAUUCAAGAAGAGAAACAUUGUUGUGAUGUGAAUAGAACGUUCAAAUAGGGUAAGUGUAACAAUUGUGGUAGUUUGAUUUGUACCAUGUGUGUAUUGCUAUGUUUCAGAUUGCACAUGCAGAGAUGGUUUCCUACUGGGUGUCAAUAGAAGGGACACGAGUAAAAACGAUUUCAACUGCUAAACCACAAUUCAAGAAGUUGGGUAAGUUUUAAGUCAUUGAUUUGAGGUGUACAAUGUGUUCUUUACUUUGUUGCAGAUUCGAGUCACUGGUUUACACAUGGAAGAAGAUUUCCACCUCUGUGACACAUCUUUACAAAAGCAAGUAGAGGGCCAGAUGUCGAGCAGUACAGAUGUGUUUCUUGGAGGGAGCUCCCAAACCGUGAGUACAAGUAUUUGAUAUUUAGAAGUCUAUGUGAAAGAUAAUAGCAAUGGUAGAAUCUAUCAGUACUUGUGUUUAGAAAUGCUGAUGUGUGACGGUUAACUGAAAAGGGUAAAUGCUAGCCAGUACUUACACCUGAGCAAACGUGGGAUGUCGAACUAACUGAUGAUGUACUAUGAUGGUGAACACUUACUUUGUGUAUCGAAAUGCUUUUGUUGAUAUGAGUGUGAGCUUAAUACAGCAAUGUUUGAGUAAUACAAAAAAUGUAUGUACUCUUUUGUGGUCGCCAGUUGUCUGUGAUAUGUAUAGUAAAAAAAACACAACACAAAGCUAUGAAGCAUACAAUUGUUUUAAGAUUUUAUCAAUGAUUGUGUACUAUGCAUGUUUUGAUUUAGUUCGUUUCAGAUAUGACAUGACCUGAAUAUUUGACAGUCGAACGGAGCUGAGCAUUGCAGAAAAGGUCUCAUAGUAGCCUCAACAGUGAAUAAGGAUAUCAACUGCUGUGACUAAACUGUUGAAGAAGGGUAAGUGGAACAAUGUGUUUGUUUUAUAAGUACCAUGUAUGCUUUAUUUUGCUCUGUUUCAGAGUAGACAUACAAACAGUGUCUUGCUUUGCAUGCUAUUUUUUAGGUCUCUCAUGCAGUGAGGGAAAAGAAGAAGAUUUCAAUAAAGAAUCACUGCUGCAACUCAGCUCUUUAAACAAGGUAAGUGUUUACUAUGUUGUAUACAAAAUGUUUCUCUUUCUUACUAUGUUUCAGGUUAACAUUGCAGAGAUGUUUUGACAGCUUGUGACAGAAAAGAAAUUCAGCAGCUGUGUCUUGACUGUAGCCACAAGGUAAGUCGAAACAAAUAUACUGGUUUGUAUGUUGUGUUGUUAUGCCCUUCUAUGUUUCAGACUUACAUUGCUGUGACUGUUCCACAGUGGGUCAAAAAAAGACGAAUACAGGUUUCAAGAAGAAAAUUGGCUGUUAAAACUCUGCACAAAAUAUGAGGUAAGUGAACUACUCUUUUGGUUUGUGUUGUGCUUUGUUCUGCUUAACUAUUUUUCAGAUUUGAGUGGUGGGUCGUUACAGAGCAGACUUUUUGACAAGUGAGAAGUUGAGAAACAGAGAAUGAUUUAAGAUCAGCUAGGUAAGUCUUGAUUAUUAUGCAUUGCUAAAUGUUGUUUUUUAUUUCAGUAUGGCUGUGGUAAGUACACUAACUUUCUAUAAUUUAAUAUUGAACUGCUUUGAUAACUUGUAUCCUGCUAUGCAAUGCUUAAUAUAUAUUUUUCAUUUCAGUAUGGCUGUGGUAAGUACACAAACUUUCUUUAAUUUUCACAUUGAACUGUUUUGAUGACUUGUAUCCUGCUAUGCAAAAUGUCUUUUUUUUAUUUCAGUAGCCUGUUGGUAAGUACGCUAACUUUCUAUAAUUUCAUAGUGAAUUGUUUUGAUGACCUGUAUUCUGCAUUGUAAAAUGUGUUUCUUUUUCAUUUCAGUAUGGCUGUGGUAAGUACAAUUGCCUUUCAUAUUGAACUGUUUUGAUGACCUGUAUUUUGCAUUGUAAAAUGUGUUUCUUUUUCAUUUCAGUAUGGCUGUGGUAAGUACACAAACUUUCUUUAAUUUUCAUAUUGAACUGUUUUGAUGACUUGUAUUCUGCUAUACAAAAUGUGUUUUUAUCAGUUCAGUUGCCUGAUGGUAAGUACAAUUUGCUUCUUUAAAUUGCAUGUUAAAAUAUAUUUGAUGACUUUUGUUCUGCUAUGCUCUUUUUCAUUUCAGUUGGGCAGAUGUAAGUACACUUCAUUUAUGUAAAAACUGAAUAUGAUUGUUGUGCUAUACAAAAUGUGCUUUUCUCAAUUUCGGGUCAGCAAUGGUAAGUAGAUUGUGUUUCUUUAUGUAUAAUUUUGUAUACAUAUUGUUUUUUUCAUCAUAGCAUGUUUUUCAUAUUUAUGCUUUGUGUAAGUAAAAUGUUCAUAAAUCAUUCUUAUCUUAAAACUAAAAAUGUAUUGUGCUAUGCAAAAUGUCUGUAUGAUUUCAGUUGCCAGAGGUGAGUACCAUUACAGUUGAAAAGUUAGUUUUGUUUAGUUCAAGUUUUGGUUCACAGUUCUGUUUGUUAUUUGGCAAAAUUUACAUGUAUGCAUUGAGUCUUGAUUUUAGCUCGAUUGUGGACUGAAGAAGAUUGUCCGCAGAGGGAUUGGAUACAAAAUACAAAGUAAGUACUGAGUUUCUUACUAAAAGUUUUGAGUUGUAUUCAUUGUGUGUUAAUAUGCUAUGAUUGCUAUGAACAUGACUUUUGUAUUUCAGCGAAGACAACAUAGGUAAGUAAAAUUGUUAUCUGUUUCAUGUUUACUGUUACAGUUCAAUAUUGUGUUUAUAAAUUGUAAGUUGUACAAACACAUUCAAAAGUUUCUGAUCAUGCUUUCGAUUUCAUUUCAGCUUUACUGCUGGACGAGUGUUCUCUACUACUAGACGUGUCAGGUUUACUACCAGGCGAGCAGUGACAACAAGGCGCCUUUGUGGAAACAACACAACAAAAAACUGUACUGCUAGACGAGCAGUGACAGAAAGGCGCCUGAACAUGCAACACAAAACAAAAAAUGCCAAUAUCCAAACCUUGAUGUGGACACCGAGUAGUCAAUACAUACGUGUGGCGUAUAGCUGCGACAAAACCGUGGGUCCAUCGCACCGAUAACUUGAACAUUGGCCCGUGUAUGGACAUCAGUGCAACUUUGUGAAUCCAUGUAACUUUGUGAAUCCAUGUAACAUUGCGAAUGUGUGUCGAUCGAAAAAUGUGUACAUUCUGCACUGAAACGAACUCGGUGUUGCAAGUGGCAAGUGUUGACAGUGUGUAUGUUUAUGUUUAUGUUUUUACAUGCAAAAUAAAGGAGAUUGUUGUUUUAUUGUGCUGGCCAGCAAUAUUGAUGUAUUGAUGUAUGUGUUUGUGUUUAAACUAUGCAAUACCAAAAUCAAACAAAAAAUAAACAUUAACAGUCAUUAACUGUGUUUGGGCGGCCGAGGGGUUUAAGACUCCACAAGUGUGAAGCGCACUGAUAGCACUUGGGGGUAAACACCUCGGUAUUUCGGUGCUAAAAUGUUUUCACGGUGCUUAUUUUGACGCACUGUUAGAACUACCAACCAGUAAAUGAUUGCUUGAUUUAUAAAACAAAUAUUCAGUCUCUACUUUGGCACAAGAGACUCUAAGUAUCAAAUACCAACAAUUUAGACGCAGACAAUCACAUGGUGGUACACCAGUCCGAAUAUACUCAUUGCUCUAGCCAGGAUUGCAAAUUACUUGUGUUGACUAGCAAGGCUCCCUAGUAACGGAGCAGUGUUACUGGCGUUUUUUGGGUCGAUAGUGCUUAGGUGAGGUUUUGCUCGAAUCGGGAGCGGGUCACUCGCUUGGGCGAGUUAGUUUUCGCUCGUAGUUUCCAAUCUGGCUAGAUCAAUGUAAGGUUGUCGUUGACUGCUAUUUGGCAAGCAGAAAGACAACAGCGGUUAAUUAACUGAGUAUGGGCGACCGAGGUAUGUAGGUGUCAAUAGACCGACUCCACAAGUUGCGAAGCGAACCGAUAGCACUUGAGGGGAAACGCCUCGGUUUUCGGUUCUAACAUGUGUUAUCCAUGCUGUCGUUAUACUCUGGCAAGGCUCCUCAAUCUAUCGCGAGGGACACUCAUUAUUGCCCGCAAGCUUUAGAACCUGACGUGGGUCGAUGCGUAUGCGAGUCCGAGGACGCGAUGGCAUUUGAUAAGGCUACCAACCAGUUAAUGAUUGCAUGAUCUAUAAAACCAAAUUUUAAGUCUACUUGGGCACAAGAGAUUCCAAGUACCAAAAUACCAACAAUUAACAAGCAGACGCUUUUCAAAACUAUGACCGCUGAGAUUGAUAGUCAGAUGGAGUCCUGCCCAUUUAGCUGUGUAGCGGUCUAGGGCGGGGUUGCAAGUCAAUACGAAAUGAGGCGCUAUAAAGCAACUCGUCCCCGUUAUGACCGUCAAUACUUUCGACACUAUCUGGGAAUCCUUUCAACACCACAUUGUUGCGCUGUUGGAAGGGUGGUAGGCACGCAUGGUGACAUGCCUGUGCUUUGCUAUGCGACACCAUGGUAUUUUCGUACGGUGACACGAAAUAUCUUAAUCUGGCUCUCUCAGAAACGCAGGCACGCGUUGACCGAACCUGACCGAUGACCGAGCAAUAACAUUUCUAUUAAGUGCUUUAAUGCACAAAGUCUGCUAGGGCUGGGGUGGGAAGGCGACUUCUCUUGUACUCAGACAAGAGGAACGGUCACAAGUCCGUGAAAACGCCGAGUGACACCACUAGCUUUUAACCCAUUUUAUUCGGGAUACGGUUUCAUUCGUAUCGCCCUGACAUAAGUUUAUCAAAAAUAAAUAUAUAAGCAAACAAA
This is an RNA transcript of Dreissena polymorpha, 8371 nucleotides long. RefSeq lists it as uncharacterized. The transcript is spliced from 4 exons. NCBI's taxonomy places the organism in Eukaryota, Metazoa, Mollusca, Bivalvia, Myida, Dreissenidae. The record is from RefSeq and is a predicted model, not a curated record.